Molecule: ribosomal RNA, 729 nt
Filed under: uncultured archaeon
Lineage: Archaea
Description: bacterial SSU rRNA
Rfam family: Archaeal small subunit ribosomal RNA
Source: RNAcentral
UGGGUAUAAUACCCGAUAGGUCUCGAUUGCUGGAAUGCAUCGAGAUUUAAAGCUCCGGCGCCUAAGGAUGGGUCUGCGGCCUAUCAGGUAGUAGUGGGUGUAGCGUACCUACUAGCCUACGACGGGUACGGGUUGUGAGAGCAAGAGCCCGGAGAUGGAUUCUGAGACACGAAUCCAGGCCCUACGGGGUGCAGCAGGCGCGAAAACUUUACAAUGCUGGCAACAGCGAUAAGGGAACCUCGAGUGCCAGGUUACAAAUCUGGCUGUCGAGAUGCCUAAAAAGCAUUUCAUAGCAAGGGCCGGGCAAGACCGGUGCCAGCCGCCGCGGUAACACCGGCGGCUCGAGUGGUAACCGUUAUUAUUGGGUCUAAAGGGUCUGUAGCCGGCCGGAUAAGUCUCUUGAGAAAUCUGGCAGCUUAACUGUCAGGCUUUCAGGAGAUACUGUCUGGCUCGAGGCCGGGAGAGGUGAGAGGUACUUCGGGGGUAGGGGUGAAAUCUUGUAAUCCUUGAAGGACCACCAGUGGCGAAGGCGUCUCACCAGAACGGACCUGACGGCAAGGGACGAAAGCUAGGGGCACGAACCGGAUUAGAUACCCGGGUAGUCCUAGCGUAAACGAUACUCGCUAGGUGUCGGCCACGGUGCGACCGUUGUCGGUGCCGUAGGGAAGCCGUGAAGCGAGCCACCUGGGUAGUACGCCGCAAGCUGAAACUUAAAGGAGUUGGCGGGGG